CAGGACUAUCCUCACCCCUUUUUCCAGCGUUGUAUCUUCAGUCACUGGGAGAGAUCAACAGUUACUGGGAAAGCAUCUCCAUGGAGGGAAUAACAAACUACUUUGAAAAGUUUUCCUUCAGCUACUCAAGGCCAAGUACUCUGCAAAAUGUCCUAAACACAUCGGUGGCAAGUAUUUUCCGUCAAAUUGAACAAUUACUCAAAUUCCACUAACAGGCGGCACAAAAAUGGAUGAUCUUUUGCCAAUGACUUUAAAUCUCUAGCCCCAGGACAUAGACAUACCUGACGUAACAAUAGAUAAGAUAAAGGAAGACCAUUCUAUCUGCUUACAAGUUCCUGUUUACUUCUAUUUGCAAAUGUUCCUUUAUAAUUUUCCUGAUUUGUAAUGUCUAACAGUCCUGCCUUACAUAAGUCAG
This is a non-coding RNA of Chiloscyllium plagiosum (whitespotted bambooshark), 415 nucleotides long. The record is from RefSeq and is a predicted model, not a curated record. Lineage: Eukaryota; Metazoa; Chordata; Chondrichthyes; Orectolobiformes; Hemiscylliidae.